RNAcentral lists this ribosomal RNA (484 nucleotides) under uncultured bacterium. RNAcentral's name for it is "partial 16S ribosomal RNA". It matches the Rfam family "Bacterial small subunit ribosomal RNA", at positions 30 to 507 of the family's 1533-position model. The record is from RNAcentral.
AUUGAACGCUGGCGGCAGGCCUAACACAUGCAAGUCGAGCGGAUGAAGGGAGCUUGCUCCUGGAUUCAGCGGCGGACGGGUGAGUAAUGCCUAGGAAUCUGCCUGGUAGUGGGGGGUAACGUCCGGAAACGGGCGCUAAUACCGCAUACGUCCUGAGGGAGAAAGUGGGGGAUCUUCGGACCUCACGCUAUCAGAUGAGCCUAGGUCGGAUUAGCUAGUUGGUGGGGUAAAGGCCUACCAAGGCGACGAUCCGUAACUGGUCUGAGAGGAUGAUCAGUCACACUGGAACUGGGACACGGUCCAGACUCCUACGGGAGGCAGCAGUGGGGAAUAUUGGACAAUGGGCGAAAGCCUGAUCCAGCCAUGCCGCGUGUGUGAAGAAGGUCUUCGGAUUGUAAAGCACUUUAAGUUGGGAGGAAGGGCAGUAAGUUAAUACCUUGCUGUUUUGACGUUACCAACAGAAUAAGCACCGGCUAACUUCGUG